Molecule: ribosomal RNA, 476 nt
Filed under: uncultured bacterium
Lineage: Bacteria
Description: partial 16S ribosomal RNA
Rfam family: Bacterial small subunit ribosomal RNA
Source: RNAcentral
GAUGAACGCUGGCGGCGUGCUUAACACAUGCAAGUCGAGCGAGUGAGUUCUUUGGAACGAUCUAGCGACGGACGGGUGAGUAACACGUGGGCAACCUGCCUCAUAGAGGGGAAUAGCCUCCCGAAAGGGAGAUUAAUACUGCAUAAAAUUAUCGAGUGGCAUCACAUGAUAAUCAAAGGAGCAAUCCGCUAUGAGAUGGGCCCGCGGCGCAUUAGCUAGUUGGUGAGGUAACGGCUCACCAAGGCGACGAUGCGUAGCCGACCUGAGGGGGUGAUCGGCCACAUUGGGUCUGAGACACGGCCCAGACUCCUACGGGAGGCAGCAGUGGGGAAUAUUGCACAAUGGGGGAAACCCCGAUGCAGCAACGCCGCGUGAGUGAUGAAGGUCUUCGGAUUGUAAAGCUCUGUCUUUGGGGACGAUAAUGACGGUACCCAAGGAGGAAGCCACGGCUAACUACGUGCCAGCCGCCGCGGUAA